GUUCAUGGUUACGAAGCUGCUGAUCCCAACCCGUGGGAGAGAAGGGGGUCUCUGACAGCUCCCACCCCUCCCCACUGCCAGAUCUUUAUUGGGUCUGAGUUUCAGGGGUGGGGCCCCGGCUGGAGGUUAUAAAACAGCUCAAUCAAGGAGUACAACCUUCGGUUUCUCUUCGGGGAAAGCUGCUUUCAGCACACACGGGAAGAUAUCGGAAACAUCCUAGGAUCAGGACACCCCAGAUCUUCUCGACUGUAGGCACGAAGGCUGUUUCUUCCACACAGCACUUUGAUCUGCAUUUAAGCAGGCACCUCUGUCCUGCGUUCCAGAGCUGCGUUCGCAAUGCUCCUCCUUUGGCUCACGCUGCUCCUGAGCGCCAUGCUCUGUCUCCUGCAAACGAAGGAGGAUCCAAACCCACCAAUCACGAACCUAAGGAUGAAAGCAAAGGCUCAGCAGUUGGCCUGGGACCUUAACAGAAAUGUGACCGAUAUUGAGUGUGUCAAAGACGCCGACUAUUCGAUGCAGGCAAUGAACAAUAGCUAUUGCCAGUUCGGAGCAAUUUCCUUAUGUGAAGUGACCAACUACACCAUCCGAGUGGCCAACCCACCGUUCUCCACGUGGAUCCUCUUCCCUGAGAACAGUGGGAAGCCUCGGGCAGGUGCGGAGAAUCUGACCUGCUGGAUUCACGAUGUGGAUUUCUUGAGCUGCAGCUGGGCAGUAGGCCCAGCGGCCCCUGCUGAUGUCCAGUACGACCUGUACUUGAACAUUGCCAACAGGCGUCAACAGUACGAGUGUCUUCACUACAAAACGGAUGCUCGGGGAACACGUAUCGGGUGUCGUUUCGAUGACAUUUCUCGACUCUCCAGCGGUUCUCAAAGUUCCCACAUCCUGGUGAGGGGCAGGAGCGCAGCCUUCAGUAUCCCCUGCACAGAUAAGUUUGUCGUCUUUUCACAGAUUGAGAUAUUAACUCCACCCAACAUGACUGCAAAGUGUAAUAAGACACAUUCCUUCAUGCACUGGAAAAUGAGAAGUCAUUUCAAUCGCAAAUUUCGCUAUGAGCUUCAGAUACAAAAGAGGAUGCAGCCUGUAAUCACAGAACAGGUCAGAGACAGAACCUCCUUCCAGCUGCUCAAUCCUGGAACGUACACAGUGCAAAUAAGAGCCCGCGAAACAGUGUAUGAAUUCUUGAGCGCCUGGAGCACCCCCCAGCGCUUCGAGUGCGACCAGGAGGAGGGCGCAAACACGCGUGCCUGGCGGACGUCGCUGCUGAUCGCGCUGGGGACGCUGCUGGCCCUGGUGUGUAUCUUCCUGAUCUGCAGAAGGUAUCUGGUGAUGCAGAGACUCUUUCCCCGCAUCCCUCACGUGAAAGACCCCAUUGGUGACAGCUUCCAAGACAACAAGCUGUACAGAUGGGGUUUCACCAUGUUGGCCAGGAUGGUCUGGAUCUCCUGACCUCGUGGUCUGCUCGCCUCGGCCUCCCAAAGUGCCAGGAUGACAGGCGUGACCCACCGCGCCCGACCCAAAGUGCUGGGAUUACAGGUGGUCUGGGAGGCGGGCAAAGCCGGCCUGGAGGAGUGUCUGGUGACUGAAGUACAGGUCGUGCAGAAAACUUGAGACUGGGGUUCAGGGCCUGUCUCAAUCUCCCUGGCCGGGCCAGGCGCCUGCACAGACUGGCUGCUGGACCUGUGCACACAGCCCAGGAAUGGACGUUCCUAAUGGGUGCUGGGCAUGGCAGAUGCCUGUGUAAUUUAGUCCGAAGCUGCCAGGAAGAGGAAAGAACAGAACUUUGUGUGUUUAUUUCAUGAUAAAGUGAUUUUUUUUUUACCCA
RNA transcript from Pongo pygmaeus (Bornean orangutan), 1822 nucleotides. It is a transcript of the gene named interleukin-3 receptor subunit alpha, with no coding region annotated. Lineage: Eukaryota; Metazoa; Chordata; Mammalia; Primates; Hominidae. The transcript is spliced from 13 exons. The record is from RefSeq and is a predicted model, not a curated record.